AUUGAACGCUGGCGGCAGGCCUAACACAUGCAAGUCGAGCGCGAAAGUUCUUCGGAAUGAGUAAAGCGGCGGACGGGUGAGUAAUACAUGGGAAUCUGCCUGGUAGUGGGGAACAACGUUUCGAAAGGAACGCUAAUACCGCAUACGCCCUACGGGGGAAGGGGGGGAGUCUUCGGACCUCUCGCUAUCAGAUGAGCCCA
Molecule: ribosomal RNA, 200 nt
Filed under: uncultured bacterium
Lineage: Bacteria
Description: partial 16S ribosomal RNA
Rfam family: Bacterial small subunit ribosomal RNA
Source: RNAcentral